This 310-nucleotide long non-coding RNA is filed under the name Nicotiana tabacum (common tobacco). Its description in RNAcentral is "long non-coding RNA (NTAB_LNC013946)". The record is from RNAcentral. Lineage: Eukaryota; Viridiplantae; Streptophyta; Magnoliopsida; Solanales; Solanaceae.
UCAGCAUUAGGGUUUUAAACCCAAAACUGAACUAUUUCCUUUAGUCAGUAUUAGGGUUUUAAACCCUAAACUGAACUCUUUCCAUUCUGUCAGCAUUAGGGUUUUAAACCCUAAACUGAACUUUUCCAUUUAGUCAGCAUUAGGGUUUUAAACCCUAAACUGAACUUUUUCCUUUAGUCAGCAUUAGGGUUUUAAACCCUAAACUGAACUUUUCCCGCUUAGUCAGCAUUAAAGUUUUAAACCCUAAACUGAACUUUUCCAUUCAGUCAGUAUUAGGACCCCAACCCUAAACUGAACUUUUCCCCAGUUA